Non-coding RNA from Maylandia zebra (zebra mbuna), 2209 nucleotides. The record is from RefSeq and is a predicted model, not a curated record. NCBI's taxonomy places the organism in Eukaryota, Metazoa, Chordata, Actinopteri, Cichliformes, Cichlidae.
AUUUCCUUCUAGGUCGAAGUACUGGCUGUACAGGGGCGUCCAUCCAUUUAUUCCAAUGGUGCUGAAGACUUGAUGAAUCGUUUCCUUCCAAACAUUCAGGCCCACACAGAUUCAAACCCACUCCUGAUGAAGGGAAAGAAACAAGCUACGGACUCUGUCCUUCGGACGAAUUGCAGACAUCCAGAUUUUCACAGUCUGGGCCGAGGUGAAUCCUGUGGGGGAGGGGAUGGAGUGGUGACCUGUUGAGAUGCACAAAAAGGAGGGGAAAGAUCGUGCCUGUAUCACACAUCUUCAGAACGAAGGGAUGGAAGGAAACCCGUGAGGCAAAUGGAGUUCCAUAUCCUCAGGGACAGUCUGUCGGGGGAUAUUUCCUUCAGAGCUUCACCGGCUGUGUAUACAUUUUACAUAUAGCAAGAGUGCUCUGAACUGAUUGUGAACCUCACUUCCAUGGUUCCCAAUUCAAACUGUUAUCAGAAUGGAUGUGUCUACCUCUUGCGUUAGAUCCUGAGGCAUAGCUAAGGAUGAGUAAAUAAAUAAUGCAACAUGCUAAGGAAAAGGCAUCAUAAUUCUAGCAGAGACACGUCUAUUCUCACCCUGUUGUGCUCAUUAACCUCUAUCAAAUCAGCUCCAAUGAAUAAAUAAUUCACCAAGUGCCUUAUUGUUGCAUUGUUUUGACACUUUUAGAUGUUUAGUCCCAUUACCCAAGUUAACAUAUAUGCCAGCGCUGGAAGGAAAGAUAGCUACUUUUUUUCUUUUAUGUUGUUUUUCUGCUUCUUUGUAUGCAUUACAAGCAUGCAGGAAAACACCACCCGGCCUCAUAUACAAGAGCACAGUCUAUUGCAGAUGUACUGCUUAAUCAGAGACGACUUCAGUGGAUAUUACAAUUCCAAAAUAGCUUUCUCUCCGGUGGAGAGCUUCAUUCUGUCUUGUGCAUAAGUCCAGAUAGGCUGAUCCUUAUUCCUCACAGCUGUAUGUCCUCAGUGGCAGACAAUAGUUUUCCAUUAGAGGAAGUGAUUCUCACUGGAGCCUCAGGCCAAGCGUCAGACAAUGGCACAGCGACCUAAAGCUCACAUCUCAGGCUCCCAGAGUCAACUCUCAUCACCUCCAGAGGCUGAUUUCCACUCUGCAGUGGCUUAAAGGGACAGGCUUAUCUGAAGUGAGCUUGUCCAAGUUAAUAAAGUUAAAAGCAACUUAUUUGAUUAGGAAUGCAUACAAGGGAGGAUGCAGUCAUCUAUCACUGGCAGACGAGUCAAUUUCAGCGCUAGAUCGAUGGUGAGCAGACCAGCAAAAUUAGAAAGUGCUAAAAGGCUGUGAAAACCUUUUUUUCCAGUUAACUUCUUACUGUGAGGUAUGGGGUCCUACUGAACCCGCUGUGCUCUGUUUCAAGGUUACACUGAAUUAGUUUUUGAAUAAGAGUUGUUUGUUGUAUUUGUUUUUCCUUUCAAACAUUUCAAACAGACAAACAGGUAGACUGGGCUUAAAUAUAUUUGAAUCAAAGUAAGUCUUGUUGUGUGUUUGUUAGCGUUAUUGUCAAAUCUGUCAAACGCAUAGACUACUAGAAAGCGAUAUGGCAUUCAGAAUAUAGACUCACCAAAAGUUUUAACCUUUUUUUUUUAAACUAGACUUUAUUGGUGAGUCAAAAUAUGCGGUCUUUAUGUCCAAAUGACCAGUUAAAUCAAAGCUAGUUUAUAUAAACACCUAAGGCAUUUUAAACUGGCUUCAAGUUCAAGUUCAAGACUUGCUUUUGGGGGCUGACAGACCAUUAGACUAGCUUAACUUAACCAGUUAGUUUAGCUUAGCAUACUGUAAGACCUUGCGUUACAUUUUUUUUUUUCCAAAAAAUGAAAUAUCCUGGGAUGUAUAAGUGGGACUAUUUCUUGACCAGAGAUCAGAGCGUCGUGGAUCAUUUUCUGACUGUCUUUGAGUUCCCCUUGAAAAAUGUUGGUAGGGGGAUUUUACUGCACUUGUUUUAUUUAUUUAUUUAUUUAUUUUAAUAUGCCUAACUGAGCUCAAUCUGGCUCCUUAUUUGUUUUAUCUCAUCAUAAGCUAGCACGUAUUUCAUGUGAAGAGACCCUGAAAAGACUUGCACAGAACAGGUUCAAGCUGAAGACCCACUUGCAGCAGUGGCAGCCCUGCUAACUACUCAGACUUUUUUUUAAUACUCAUACAAAUAAUCUUUAAGAAUAUUAAAAAGUAUUUAUGCUAUCAA